This 403-nucleotide ribosomal RNA is filed under the name Verrucomicrobiota bacterium. RNAcentral's name for it is "Verrucomicrobia bacterium partial 16S ribosomal RNA". It matches the Rfam family "Bacterial small subunit ribosomal RNA", at positions 355 to 776 of the family's 1533-position model. The record is from RNAcentral. Lineage: Bacteria; Pseudomonadati; Verrucomicrobiota.
UGGGGAAUAUUGCGCAAUGGGGGCAACCCUGACGCAGCAACGCCGCGUGCGGGACGACGGCCUUCGGGUUGUAAACCGCUUUCAGCAGGGAAGAUAGUGACGGUACCUGCACAAGAAGCCCCGGCUAACUACGUGCCAGCAGCCGCGGUAAUACGUAGGGGGCGAGCGUUAUCCGGAUUCAUUGGGCGUAAAGCGCGCGCAGGCGGCUCUUCAAGCGGAACCUCUAACCCCGGGGCUCAACCUCGGGCCGGGUUCCGAACUGGAGGGCUCGAGUGCGGUAGAGGCAGGCGGAGUUCCCGGUGUAGCGGUGGAAUGCGCAGAUAUCGGGAAGAACACCGAUGGCGAAGGCAGCCUGCUGGGCCGGCACUGACGCUGAGGCGCGAAAGCUAGGGGAGCGAACAGG